UACGAAGGGGGCUAGCGUUGCUCGGAAUCACUGGGCGUAAAGGGCGCGUAGGCGGCCGAUUAAGUCGGGGGUGAAAGCCUGUGGCUCAACCACAGAAUUGCCUUCGAUACUGGUUGGCUUGAGACCGGAAGAGGACAGCGGAACUGCGAGUGUAGAGGUGAAAUUCGUAGACAUUCGCAAGAACACCAGUGGCGAAGGCGGCUGUCUGGUCCGGUUCUGACGCUGAGGCGCGAAAGCGUGGGGAGCAAACAGG
RNAcentral lists this ribosomal RNA (253 nucleotides) under uncultured bacterium. Its description in RNAcentral is "partial 16S ribosomal RNA". It matches the Rfam family "Bacterial small subunit ribosomal RNA", at positions 524 to 776 of the family's 1533-position model. The record is from RNAcentral.